Molecule: ribosomal RNA, 433 nt
Filed under: uncultured bacterium
Lineage: Bacteria
Description: partial 16S ribosomal RNA
Rfam family: Bacterial small subunit ribosomal RNA
Source: RNAcentral
AACGAACGCUGGCGGCAGGCCUAACACAUGCAAGUCGAGCGCGCCCUUCGGGGUGAGCGGCGGACGGGUGAGUAACGCGUGGGAACGUGCCCUUCUCUGCGGAAUAGCCUCGGGAAACUGAGAGUAAUACCGCAUACGCCCUUUGGGGGAAAGAUUUAUCGGAGAAGGAUCGGCCCGCGUUGGAUUAGGUAGUUGGUGGGGUAAUGGCCCACCAAGCCGACGAUCCAUAGCUGGUUUGAGAGGAUGAUCAGCCACACUGGGACUGAGACACGGCCCAGCCUCCCUCGGGAGGGAGGCGUUGGGGAUCUUAGGACAUGGGGGCAACCCUGAUCUAGCCAUGCCGCGUGAGUGAUGAAGGCCUUAGGGUUGUAAAGCUCUUUCAGCUGGGAAGAUAAUGACGGUACCAGCAGAAGAAGCCCCGGCUAACUCCGUG